Molecule: unclassified non-coding RNA, 221 nt
Filed under: uncultured Orbiliaceae
Lineage: Eukaryota; Fungi; Ascomycota; Orbiliomycetes; Orbiliales
Description: sequence contains ITS2
Source: RNAcentral
CAAAACACCCUCAGUGCGAAUUUUAUUAUUCAACCUGGUCUUGGGCAGCGGAUGCUGGUGGUAAGUUCAACUUCCACCUGCGCCCUCCCUAAACUUGCUGCACGACCGCGAGCCCCCGUCCGGCCAGGUCAAUGGAGUGGUGUCACAAUCUUUCCAGAAAGCCUGCCGGUCGAACGCUCCGUGGCGUUAAACACAGACGUCCCCCCUCGGGGAGACCGAAG